This 245-nucleotide ribosomal RNA is filed under the name uncultured archaeon. Its description in RNAcentral is "partial 16S ribosomal RNA". It matches the Rfam family "Archaeal small subunit ribosomal RNA", at positions 474 to 719 of the family's 1478-position model. The record is from RNAcentral.
UACCCGCAGCCCGAGUGGUGCUCGAUUUUAUUGAGCUUAAAGCGUACGUAGCCGGUCUUGUAAAUCCUUGGGUAAAUCGGGCAGCUUAACUGUUCGACUUCCGAGGAGACUGCUAGACUUGGGACCGGGAGAGGUUAGAGGUACCUUCGGGGUAGGGGUAAAAUCCUGUAAUCCUGAGGGGACCACCAGUGGCAAAGGCGUCUAACUAGAACGGAUCCGACGGUGAGGAACGAAGCCCUGGGGCG